UGAGUGGCCUGUGGCCGGUGUGUGGAGGGAGCAGCAUCCCGAGAUCCCAUGGAUGCUUGGAUGGAUGGACCCAUCCCAGAUUUCCAGGCUGGCUCUCAGCCUCUUCCACACCUUUGGAGAGUCCCAGGCUGCUGGAGCCUGGACCUCCAGUCUCGUGGUAAGGAAGGGGAGACAGCCCCGCUGCCCCUCAGCUGAACAUCGCAGGCGGGUUACAGCCCAGCAUCGCUCGGAGCAGACAGAAAACAGCCGUCCCUGUACCGCACGCUCUGGCUGACAGCUCGGCACGGGAAGCGAUCUCCUCUUACAAAUUACAGGAGCCCGUUUACACAGGGCAAACACUCCCCGUUCCACGGAGAGCAGAGCGAGACCGCCAGCGGCAGCAGCUCAGAGCCUCCUCUUCCCUCCUGGCUCUCCAAACCUUCCAGACAUGCUGCGGGAAGAACUCCACACUGCUGGGCACCACGGCCUCCCACAGCAGCCUGCCACAGCCAGAGACUGCUCGGGUGCACGGCUGUGGCUGCUGGAGCCCGAGCACGUGUGGGAUGGCCCAGAGCUCUCACAGGACAGCUCUUGGCGCUGAGAGUUGUCCUGCUCCAUCAUUCCAUCUGUGUCUGGGAGCUGAGCAGUCCUGGGUGAAGAUGUGGAAGGCUCUGACAGGGAACACAGAGUAGGAGUGGAAAUACUGGAGGCAAAGCUUCGGUUUUCAGCGCCUACUGAACAUGUGCCUCAUCAUUCUCUUGCCCAAGUUAGCGCAGAUCUGACUCUUCCAAGGCACAGCGCCUUGCAGGGAGCUUUGGUGGCUGCAAUCUCCUCCUAAUCCAGGCUUGUUUCAGGGAAAACAGGCAAUUUUAUAUCCCUUUGAUAUGGGUCUUAGCUGCUAAUGAUGCUAGGAAGUAAAAAGAAAUGGGCAUAGAAAUACACAACUAUGAAGAAUUAAAAUAGUGAAUUUAAUUCAGCCAAUUCCAACAAAAUUGGUAAUCCCCUGAAAAACAAACCUUGCACAGAAAACACAGAACAGAAAUGGUUCAUCUUGACAGCUGGUGAAAACAACUGGGUGAAAAGGUGAAUGGAAUAUUUCUGACUUCUCUGGAAAACAAAAGGUUUCACACAUCCUGAAAAUGCCCUAUUUUUGACUAAAUGGGUCGGUUUGUGAGGCAGGGAUUGUAAAUGCUCUGCAAGGAAAGCACAGCUCUGAACUGCAGAUGCCAAAUGUCUGCUUUUCAGAAAGCACUGAUGCUUCCCUAAAGGAAAAGCUGGGACCUCUAAAAAUCCUAGAAACAUGGAACGGUUUGGUCUGGAAGGGAAACUCAAAGCUCAUCUCACUCUAAGCCUCCACCAAGAGCAGGGACACGUUCCACUAGACUAGCCCAGAAACCUGAAGAACAACAACAACAACAAAAUAUGAUAUUUAAGAAUGGUCAGGACCUCAGCACUCAAUUUGAACCAGGGGCUGACAGUCCAAUCUGAACACAGCUGUAAAAUGGAUUCGCGGGAGAAGCUUUGGCAUUCCUUUUGUAAUUAGAAAACAGCCACUGAGGCGUGUGCCUUUAAAGGUGAAAGCUAUUUUUGACAUAAAAAUUAGCACGUAGUUCCUCUGUCAUCCCUCGGCUGCUGUGCUGGGAGCUGAGAGUGAACAAUCCAAAGAUAAGCAAGAAGUAUAAACAUGCUGAAUUAUACAAAUACGUAGAAGGGGAUCAGGUUGAAUUUGUUUUAUUUUGUGACAGUUAGGAGACAAGGAGAUUUAUUCUUACACUUUUUCUCUAAAAAGCACUGGUUAAAAGGUCCACUUAAGCGCUGAAACCCCAAUGGCAUUAAAAAACUUGAAGAGCUUUUAAUAGCUACCUAUUGAAAUUACUGUUAAAUCUAUUUUUGAGAUGGAUAAACUAAGCUACCAAUGAAGCAGGGCAGGAGUUUUUGGGAGGGCCCAGCAGUGAGGAACUGUAAUUCAUUUCUCAACAACUCAGCUCCUGUACAGGGACCUUGAGAUAAAAACUACCAAUGCUUUAACAACCUGAGCAUUCUUUAAAUUCCAAUUUUCUCUCUUUGGUGGGAAUCUAACCCCGACAGCCCUGAAAAUGAACCUGAGGCAGUUUUCAGGAUACAGCUCAGAGUGGCUGUUUCUAAAAUAAAAGUGAGGGAAGAGCAGCAGAACUUGGAGGCUUAUCAGCACCCGGAAUGGCCCGGCUAAUCCUCGGCAGCCCCGGCCCCUUUAUGUAACCUGGGAUUGCUGCAGCUCAGCAGCUUACUGGGGUCUGGGUGCUUUUCUUUAAACCUCUUUCUUGUGGACAAAUGCAAACACAUUAAAUACUUCUUUCUUUUGCCUCUCUAAGGAAAAAAAUUGUUGUAAGAGGGAAAAAAAAUGUUUUAUUUGUAUCAAUGGCUAAUAGAAUUAAACUUGUAUGCUGAGACUGAAACGUGUUUCUCUCUGAUCCAUCGUGACUGAACAGAACUUUCCCAGUUUACAAUACUCAGGUGUAACUCUUGAAAGAAAGGUUGAAUCCCAAAUUUCUCUUCAUCCCGAACACUCUCUGGAGGUGUUGGGGUGUUCCGAAUAAAGAGAAAAGCAGCCCCUUUACACCCUGUACCCCAUUUCUGGCUGGCUGUGCUGCAGUACUUCCAUCCCUGUGGCCACCUCCCCGCGGCUCUCCUUGCCCAGGGGAUGCCUUUCCAUGCCCUCCAUGACUGCUCUGACUGUCCACGGCACACAUCCUUCCAAGGCAAAGCCAGCUCUCGAGCUCUCGGCCGUGCUAAGCCAUUCACCUCACGCUGAAUGCUUACGGAAACUUCAGAAGGAAAAAAAUAAACCCCCUAUUGAACUCCUUGCAAUCGGAGACCUGAAUGGGCUCGGUGUAAACCCCACUCGAACCAGCGGCAGCAAUAGGCUUCCCUGGAUGUUGGAUUCCAUCCAGCUUAAAAGUUUCCAUGAAAUAAACUAGGCUAAGCGCAUCAGCUGCAUAGGAACUAACUCGGUGUAACAGGAGCAUCUGUUCUUCACGUCCACCAUUUUCUCAGAGCCCCAGCCCGGCGGCGCUGCGAGGUGCCGGCGGGUCCCGGGCACGGAGCAGCAGGAGCAUAGCACGCACGUGGUAUAAACUACUGCACCAGGUAGCUUUUGUUUGUCAGAAAAACAGCUUAAUGUAUUUGCAAGGAUGGCAUUACAGAGCGAAGUCAAUGUCCGCACUGAGACAGCAGAGGAGCACACCUCGGACCCAUUAAUACACGGUACAAAGCAAAUGUUUACCCAAGUACAAAUGAAACAGGUCGACAAUUAGCUAAUGCAGCUUUGUGGACAUAAACCAGGUACAGUCGAGCAGAACCAACAUAAAAUAAAAAGGAAACAGCCCUUUUCCUAAGCCACGCUAAGAGCACCGUGGUUAGUGGUUUGGGAAGCCUCUGUCACGGUGAAAAAUUUCCUUGCCGGUGUUUAAUGUGUUUAUUCUACUGCUACACUGCUGGGAUAAAAAUAACAGCUGGCUGUACAAGGGACCCACUGUCAAUACUGCAGUAAUUGACAACAUACAAUUAAGUCUCACACCUGUUUAUUGUAAGUAAUUCAUAGAUAACCACUUCUAGUACACAUUUUCAUAUUGGCUUUUAAUGCUUUUGUUCUCUUUUUUUUUUUUUUUUAAGCUCAGGGAUACCCAAAUUUCACCUAAGGGUCAUCACUGUGGUUACCCAGACCCAGAAGGCUAUACCUACUUUGGGGAACUGGUGCAAGGUGGCCAGGGAUGGCAGAGAUGGCUGGGGAACUGCAGGCCCCAACAUGCAGGACGGUGUGGAGCGGCAGGGGGCCGGGGCAGGGGCUGGGGACAUGCUGGCCGUGCGCGCCGGGCUCACACAGGGCCAAAACAAAGACCUCUACACACCUGGAGUAAGAACAGUGGUAACAAAGUCAUAGCUACAUAUUCUUCUCUACAUUUUUGUUUAUUGAGACAAACUAAUUAAAAGGCACAAACAUAGGGCAUAUGUUUACAUGGACAUUAUAACAAACAUAUACAUUAAAAGUGUAGGAAUGUGUUUCCUUUCUGCUAAACAGAAAGUUCCUAAGCUUUUAUAUAUACAAAAGUUGUACAAUUUGAUGUCCUAAAGUACAAAAGAUCAUUUAUAAAAUUAUUUUACACUAAGCUCUAUUAUUUUUUUUGUUUGUUUUUGUUUUACUAUGUAGUCCAAGCCCCUAGAACAGUUUCACGUAAGGAUACAGAUACCUGUCACCUGAGCCAGCAGCCUGGCAAUCACUGCUCGCACGGACACGGCCGGGGAGGAACGGAAGCAGUCCAGUGUGACUGGUCAGUCCUGCUAGCACUCUGUGAAAAUGCACACGCUAAUCUCCAGAGCUCUCAACUUCAUUAAGAUAAAAACAUCUCAACUGUCAUUUCCUCUUUUUUUUUUCCUCUUUUUUUAAAAUUUUAUUUAAUGUAGAGGUUGGGUUUAGGGUGGUUUGUUUUUUUUUUUUUUUAAACAAAGUUUUAAAAAUGUGAAUAUGUGACAUGAUAGUCUAAAAAGUAUAUCUGUUUCCCUAGACUUUGCUUUCUACUUUAUGUACAGAUAAACAGGUUAAGAAAAAAAAAAGCACAUGUAGCUUAAACAUGUGUGACCAUUUAUGAGCAGUUCUGGGCUGGACAGCUCGGCACCCCAGAACUCCCACAAAUUGAUAGAAAUGUGUUAACACAAUAGAAGAAUAACGUAAAAAUGAUGAUGUUUGCAAAUAUUUACAAAGUUGAACAGAUUUGCACAACACUUGAUUAAGAAAUAGGGGAGAAAUUAAAAGACGCUCUCUGCUUGUCCUGGAGGGGCAUCCUACCUAGUUAGUGGUUAGAAUAAAAACUGUAUACAAUUUAAUAUAAGACAAAACUUCUAGUGAACAACUAACACGUCUGUCCCCUGCUGGAACACCAGCAGGCUCUGACUGGGAGGCAGAGGGCAUAAAAAUCACACCCAGGGCCUCCAGAAUCUUCCAGCUUAAAGCAAUUUUCCUUAAAUUUCCAAGCACUCCUUUUGCUCCUAGAUAAGAGUCCCAUGGGGGUCUGACUGUUCAGAGACCAUGUUUACAUACAUUUCAACUCCUCUUCUGUCAGCCAUGGCUGUUUCUCACCAAACAAUAACAGGUUUUUUUUAAAAAAAUGUUGACUACAAUGCUCUAUUCCCUUAGGGUAAUAUGUUGGGUAAUAUUUACAUCUCCAAAUAUCAGGUCACAAUCCCUAUUAUAUGUUGAAGUUAGAAUGAUAAGUUAUCAUAUGCUUUGCAUAUCAGAGCUGGUAUCACCUUUCCCAUAGGGAAUGCUGCCUGAAAUUACCAUAUUCCCAAAGGUAAAAUGCAUAUUUUCUCCAAAAAUGCAUUUUUUUUAAAAUGACAACAUUGUAAUGCAUUUACUCCUU
This is a long non-coding RNA of Passer montanus (Eurasian tree sparrow), 5375 nucleotides long. RefSeq lists it as uncharacterized. The record is from RefSeq and is a predicted model, not a curated record. The transcript has 2 exons. Lineage: Eukaryota; Metazoa; Chordata; Aves; Passeriformes; Passeridae.